Molecule: long non-coding RNA, 605 nt
Organism: Lolium perenne
Lineage: Eukaryota; Viridiplantae; Streptophyta; Magnoliopsida; Poales; Poaceae
Source: RefSeq, a predicted model, not a curated record
UCCACACUCCCCGCUUUUCGUUUUUGCCACACAGGAAUUAUGGAGUAAACCCCAGACCCGGUCUCCCGUUCGGAGCACCUACGCACGAACUCCCCAAAUCCUUCCGUGGAGGUCGCCGGCAUCUUCCCCUGUUGCCGCUCGAUUCAAUCUAUCCCUCGCAGCUACUGCCGGCGCCGCCGCCUUGACAGAUCGACCGACCGACAUGCUUCUGGGCGCUGACCACGAUAGCGAGCUCCGCUCGUCCGGCUGCUAGCAUAUCGAUCGACCGACCAACCUGCUGCCGGGCGCUGACCACGACAGCGAGCUCCGCUCGUCCAGCUGCUAGCGUAUCGGUGGCGGAGGCCAUCCCCGAGCCUCUGCUCCGUGCGCCGCUGCGGGGCGGCUCACCAUCGCGUCCGUGUGUGUUCCUUGUCCAGCGGUUUUCGCGCGUGUUCCUGGUUUCAGGCAGCUACCCUUCACAGCUGGUUUCAUCGUUCCAGUUAAGUCUGUUCAUGUGAUUGGAUAAGGCUGUAGUAGUGUAGUGGUUGACUAGAGACUGUACUUCGUACGAACAUCUGACUGGUACUUCGUACGUAGCUGAGGCUCUGCCGAUCUAAUUGCAUUGA